This 94-nucleotide microRNA precursor is filed under the name Trichophyton rubrum BMU01672. The record is from RNAcentral. Lineage: Eukaryota; Fungi; Ascomycota; Eurotiomycetes; Onygenales; Arthrodermataceae.
CGCUUACGCCCAAUAUGACGAAGACGAUCGAAGUCACGUCCAUAGAGGAGUUCAUAGCACUGCUAUCAACGACUCCUGUUCUAAUAGCGGACUG